Molecule: ribosomal RNA, 461 nt
Filed under: uncultured bacterium
Lineage: Bacteria
Description: partial 16S ribosomal RNA
Rfam family: Bacterial small subunit ribosomal RNA
Source: RNAcentral
CCUACGGGUGGCAGCAGUGAGGAAUAUUGGUCAAUGGGCGGGAGCCUGAACCAGCCAAGUCGCGUGAGGGAAGACGGUCCUAUGGAUUGUAAACCUCUUUAGGCGGGGAGCAAUGCCGGGCACGCGUGCCCGGCGGGAGAGUACCCGCAGACUAAGCAUCGGCUAACUCCGUGCCAGCAGCCGCGGUAAUACGGAGGAUGCGAGCGUUAUCCGGAUUUACUGGGUGUAAAGGGCGUGUAGCCGGGCUGACAAGUCAGAUGUGAAAUUCCGGGGCUCAACCCCGGACCUGCAUUUGAAACUGUUGGUCUGGAGUAUCGGAGAGGCAGGCGGAAUUCCUAGUGAAGCGGUGAAAUGCGUAGAUAUUAGGAGGAACACCAGUGGCGAAGGCGGCCUGCUGGACGACAACUGACGGUGAGGCGCGAAAGCGUGGGGAGCAAACAGGAUUAGAUACCCUAGUAGUC